UGGGGAAUUUUGCACAAUGGGGGAAACCCUGAUGCAGCGACGCCGCGUGAUUAAGAAGGCCUUCGGGUUGUAAAAAUCUUUUCUAUGGGAAGAAAAUGACAGUACCAUAGGAAUAAGGACCGGCUAAUUACGUGCCAGCAGCCGCGGUAAUACGUAAGGUCCGAGCGUUGUCCGGAAUCAUUGGGCGUAAAGGGUACGUAGGCGGGUAAGCAAGUUAGAAGUGAAAUCCUAUAGCUCAACUAUAGUAAGCUUUUAAAACUGCUCAUCUUGAGGUAUGGAAGGGAAAGUGGAAUUCCUAGUGUAGCGGUGAAAUGCGCAGAUAUUAGGAAGAAUACCGGUGGCGAAGGCGACUUUCUGGCCAUAACCUGACGCUGAGGUACGAAAGCGUGGGUAGCAAACAGG
RNAcentral lists this ribosomal RNA (402 nucleotides) under bacterium. RNAcentral's name for it is "partial 16S ribosomal RNA". It matches the Rfam family "Bacterial small subunit ribosomal RNA", at positions 355 to 776 of the family's 1533-position model. The record is from RNAcentral.